RNAcentral lists this ribosomal RNA (813 nucleotides) under uncultured bacterium. RNAcentral describes it as "bacterial SSU rRNA". It matches the Rfam family "Bacterial small subunit ribosomal RNA", at positions 691 to 1505 of the family's 1533-position model. The record is from RNAcentral.
UAGAUAUUAGGAAGAACACCAGUGGCGAAGGCGGCUUACUGGACGGUAACUGACGUUGAGGCUCGAAAGCGUGGGGAGCAAACAGGAUUAGAUACCCUGGUAGUCCACGCCGUAAACGAUGAUUGCUAGGUGUAGGUGGGUAUGGACCCAUCGGUGCCGCAGUUAACACAAUAAGUAUCCCACCUGGGGAGUACGAUCGCAAGGUUGAAACUCAAAGGAAUUGACGGGGGCCCGCACAAGCGGUGGAGUAUGUGGUUUAAUUCGAAGCAACGCGAAGAACCUUACCAGGGCUUGACAUCCUACUAACGAAGCAGAGAUGCAUUAGGUGCCCUUCGGGGAAAGUAGAGACAGGUGGUGCAUGGUUGUCGUCAGCUCGUGUCGUGAGAUGUUGGGUUAAGUCCCGCAACGAGCGCAACCCUUAUUGUUAGUUGCUACGCAAGAGCACUCUAGCGAGACUGCCGUUGACAAAACGGAGGAAGGUGGGGACGACGUCAAAUCAUCAUGCCCCUUAUGUCCUGGGCCACACACGUACUACAAUGGCGGUCAACAGAGGGAAGCAAAUCCGCGAGGAGGAGCAAAUCUCAAAAAUAACGUCUCAGUUCGGAUUGUAGUCUGCAACUCGACUACAUGAAGCUGGAAUCGCUAGUAAUCGCGAAUCAGAAUGUCGCGGUGAAUACGUUCCCGGGUCUUGUACACACCGCCCGUCACACCAUGGGAGUCAGUAACGCCCGAAGNNNNNNNNCCAACCGUAAGGAGGGAGCUGCCGAAGGCGGGACCGAUAACUGGGGUGAAGACGUAACAAGGUAACCGUAA